CCUACGGGUGGCAGCAGUGAGGAAUAUUGGUCAAUGGACGAGAGUCUGAACCAGCCAAGUAGCGUGAAGGAUGACUGCCCUAUGGGUUGUAAACUUCUUUUAUAUGGGAAUAAAAUGUUCCACGUGUGGGAUUUUGUAUGUACCAUAUGAAUAAGGAUCGGCUAACUCCGUGCCAGCAGCCGCGGUAAUACGGAGGAUCCGAGCGUUAUCCGGAUUUAUUGGGUUUAAAGGGAGCGUAGGUGGAUUGUUAAGUCAGUUGUGAAAGUUUGCGGCUCAACCGUAAAAUUGCAGUUGAAACUGGCAGUCUUGAGUACAGUAGAGGUGGGCAGAAUUCGUGGUGUAGCGGUGAAAUGCUUAGAUAUCACGAAGAACUCCGAUUGCGAAGGCAGUUCACUGGACUGCAACUGACACUGAGGCGCGAAAGUGUGGGUAUCAAACAGGAUUAGAUACCCCAGUAGUC
Molecule: ribosomal RNA, 460 nt
Filed under: uncultured bacterium
Lineage: Bacteria
Description: partial 16S ribosomal RNA
Rfam family: Bacterial small subunit ribosomal RNA
Source: RNAcentral